This 1686-nucleotide ribosomal RNA is filed under the name Triticum aestivum (bread wheat). Its description in RNAcentral is "partial small subunit ribosomal RNA". Lineage: Eukaryota; Viridiplantae; Streptophyta; Magnoliopsida; Poales; Poaceae. The record is from RNAcentral.
AUGGAUCCUCUUGACUACCUUUCUGUCAGAUUUCACUACAGAGGUGACUUUGAGCAUGAUGGAAAUGAUUGGGUUUAUGUUGGAGGAAAAACUGGGUUGUCCACAAUUGAAUUUCCAGAGCUGUCAGUAUCUGGGCUGAAGAAGAACCUUCCAGAUUUUAUUACAUGUUCUGAUUUAGCCCUACAAAAUACUAAACUGCAUUGGAAAUAUCCAGAUGGUGACUUGGCAAAUGCUUUGCUUGUACUGGAUGAUCAAAAAUCGAUGGAGAUGAUGGCUAAACAUGUAACUGAUGCUGGUGUUAUUGAUAUAUAUGUUGUCAUUCCUGCUGAUGAAAGUCUUGAAGGCAUUGAUUGGGAGUUUGAAUUUGCAGAGCAGUUUCAGGCAGAGCAUUGUUAUGCAGAGCAAGUUCAUGUAGAUGAAGGGCGUGCAGAGGAGGUGCAGGCAGAGCAAAGAAAUGCAGAGGAUGUACAAUGUAGGGCCAAAAUGCCAGUGUUCAGGGCAGCAAGUUCAGUUUCUGACAGAGGAAAAGGGGUUCCAACUGAGGAGAUGCAGUUUUCAGGUGAAUCUGACAGUGACAGUGACUAUGUUGUGCCUCCUGCAGAGAGCAACAGUUCAGCUGAAGAUGAAGAAAUCAUUGAGUAUAGAAAAUAUGCCAAAGAAUUCAAGGAGAAAAGGAGAAAGAAGAUGCUAGGGGAGGAAGAAGCACAAGCUUGCAAUGUUACUGAUGAUUUCAUUGUACCAGAAACAUGUAAGUUGGAUGAUGAUGCAGAUGACACCCCCUACUUUGAGAGUGAUGAUGAUCUUUCUUAUGAUGAGGCUAGUGAUGGAGAGGUCAAUGCUGUCAGAAGGAGAAAGACCACUCAUAAAGUGUAUGAUGACAGUACAAAUAACUCACAGUUUGAAGUUGGGAUGGCUUUUACUAACAGCGGAGAAUUCAAACAAGCACUAGUGAAAUAUGGAUUAAAGAAUUUCCAUCACUUGUUAUUUCCCAAGGAUGAGAAAAGAAGAGUGAGUGCCAAGUGCAGCUGGACUGGAUGCCAAUGGAGCAUUUAUGGUUCAAUAAAUAGCAAGUCUGACUGGUUGUUGGUGCAAAGGUACAACAAUGUCCAUACAUGUGUGCCUAGGAGAUAUAAUAAACUCGUGACUAGUUCUAUCAUUGCAAAGAAAUAUUUCAGACAGAUCAGAGACAAUCCAACAUGGAGGGUGGAGAAGAUGCAAGAAGCAGUACUAGAAGAUUUGCUAGCAGAUGUGACCAUAUCCAAAUGCAAGAGGGCGAAGAAACUUGUGAUGGAAAAGCUCAUAGAUUCAACUAAUGGUGAAUAUUCUAGAGUAUUUGACUACCACCUUGAGUUAAUUAGGAGCAAUCCUGGUAGUACUGUUGCAGUUACAUUAGACCCUAAUGAGCAUAAUGUGUUUGAAAGGAUGUAUGUUUGUCUAGAUGGUUGCAAGAAGGGGUUUAUAGCUGGAUGUAGAAGAGUUGUUGGGUUAGAUGGUUGUUUUUUGAAGGGUGGUGUGCAUGGACAAAUAUUGUGUGCAAUUGGGAGAGAUGCCAACAACCAGAUGUACCCCAUUGCAUGGGCAACUGUUGAGGUUGAGAGUUAUGAUAGUUGGUACUGGUUUCUAUCAUUUUUUAUAAAGCUAGGACACAUUCCAUUUUUUAUAAUGAUAAAUACCUUUCCAUCUUGA